RNA transcript from Lagopus muta (rock ptarmigan), 2748 nucleotides. RefSeq lists it as uncharacterized. The record is from RefSeq and is a predicted model, not a curated record. Lineage: Eukaryota; Metazoa; Chordata; Aves; Galliformes; Phasianidae. The transcript has 2 exons.
UUAUAGGGCCAGGUGUGUGAGGAAAGGCAGGGCUGUAAGGGGUGGGGUGUGUGAGGAGAGGGCUCUGGUUCGCUGUGGGGAGGCAGGUGUAUGUAGAGUAAAGGCAGGCCUGUAAGGAGUCGGGGUGGGUGGGAAAGGAGAGUCAGGUUUAUGGGCCUAGCUGUGUGUGAGGAAAGGCAGCCUGUGUACAGAUGUGUGUGUGAACCUCAGGCCUAUGGGGGACCGAGUGUGUGCGGAGGUGGUUUCAUGCCUACCACAGGUUCAGGUGUGCAAGAGGAGUUUUCAGGGUCCAUCACAGAGUGGCUCUGGGGCUUGCAGCAGCUGCUGGCAUGUGGCAAAGCCUUGGUAAGGAUGGGCUGCAUCAGGAGGGGAGCUGUGGACUGCCCAGCCUGAGGGGGAAAGGCCUUGGAGGACGAGAAGCUUUAGUGGUGGCUGAAAGGCCUGGGUUAGGAUGACUGCAGAGCAGAGAGACAGGGUAAGGUGGUGCAAUGCUGUUCCUGCCAUGCUUUGCAGUUUCCUAUAUGGAGGCAAACGUUCCUUUAUAAAUAUAGAGACCUACACUGGCUUGUGUACUGGUCUCUGAGCAUGUUGGUGAUGGACAAAGCUGGAGGUCCAGAGCUGUGUGUUCUGCCCAUGCCUCAUGCAGCCUCGUGCUGGUGUGUCGCUGCUGGGCUGCCUUCCAGGGCCCUCGUGGUGCAGUCAUUUCAAACCAAAGGUGUGGAAACUUGAAAGCAACAUGUCCCAGGCUAUGGGCAGCUGUGUUCUGUUCUACAAAGGCCAAUAUUACAGGUUUUCUGGUUAUCUAUUUCAUAUAAGAAACAUGUUGCUGUGCUUUCUGUUUACAAAGACUGAACUUUGUAGCUUUUUUUUUUUUCUUCUCUGUUUCUUACAAAUGGAAAGAAAAACAAAGAGCAGGGCCUCUGUGUCAGCUGCUUUGCAAAUAGCUGAUGCUGACAAAGCAGGAUGCAGAAACCUUUCUUCAGACUGAGUGAAUGUAUGUCAAACAGUCAGUGAGUUGUGAUGAGAAAAACAGUUUUUUAUGAAAACAUGAGCCAAGAACAACAGCUUGACAAAGAAGUUUAAACUUUCCCUGAUAGCUCUUUGGGGCGUAGAUAGUUAAGUUUCUGCAUUUGUAAGGGAAACAUGGCAUUCCUUAAAGCUGAACCUCCUCCCUUGGGUUCCCACUGGAUGCCUGAGAGAUGACAGUAUAGGGUGUCUCCAGAAGGCUAAUAUUAAACAGGAGGAAUUGGUGUGGAGGGAGCAAGCAGCAAGUGAGAUUCCAGUUUUGACCACAGAAUGAGCUAAAACAAUUUUGCAUCAGCAACUCUAUCCGGUUUCUUACUCAUUCUCUGCACACAGCUCCUGCUGUUCAAAGGAUUCCUCUGUGCCCUCACAUUAGUGAAUGCACCUGCCCUUUGUGUGCAAGCUUCCUCCUAAAGGGUAAAUUUGCUUCAGACAAACAGAAAGUGCUGAGGCAGUGUAAUGUGAGUUGAAUUAACCUUGAAAGGGGAGCCCCAGCUCAGCCUUUCUGAAUUUACCCAAUCGCUGUCCACAGCAGCAUGAGCAAGGCUGGCUGGGGAGCUGAUGGGUGAACUGUGUGGACACAUGGAAGAGAUACAGGAAGGAAAUGGAAAAUAAAUUGGGGGUUUAGCCAGAGUGCUGUUUCUAAUUCUGCAGCUGUGCGAAGAUGAGGAAGUGAUUUGGGCAGUCCAAGCGCGGCCCCAGCAGUGCAGCUCCUGGGAUGCAGCAGCAGCCACCGCACCCUUUCCUGUUCACCCUGCAGCCCUGUCAGCUCUUCUGCAUCUGCCAGAGCCCUGUGGAAGGAUUGCUUGUCUGCGUGCAGAUGGCACUGGCACUGAUGUGAGUGGCUGCAACGCUUACUGGUGUGGCAAGUUGAGUGCCCCCCAAAGGGAUGUUGAGAUCUGGGAGCUGCUCGCAGUUGCGCUGAUGUUCAGCCAUGUCUCUGCCUCAUCUCCUGUAAGAGGCAAUAUUUACUUACGUAAAAAGGUUUAAUACAUGCUUUGCGUGGGUGUUCCAAGUUAAAAAUUGUCAGUCAGUGCAAACAGAUCUUGGAUAAACUAGUGAAAAGCAAAGUGCAUGAGCUGUGUUACUACUGCAGUUCUUUUCAGAACAGGGUAUGUCCUGGUGCCCCCUGGGUUAACUAGUUUUAAACAGCACUGCACUCAUCUUGAGUUUAGUCCUUCCUUACAUAAAACCAAUUCUGUUUUAUUUCCUUCUCCUUGGUUAGCUGUUUGUAGUGUCCCAGUGAGUCAACAAGCCGUGCAUUUGGGGAAUGUCCAGGAUCCACACCUGGGUCCUUCAGAUUGUAGCAGUGUCCUGCUGGAGAAUAACCUGUCUGUGCCCAUCUGCAGUGGGUUUGGACGCUUAGGAAAGCUGCGAUUGACUGGCAGGGAGGAGUCUGAUGAAAGCACGGAGGAACGAGGAAGACUUUUCUACACGGAGGAAAGCAGCAGGAAAGCUGUGCAAGCACUGGACCAGCCCACUUCCACUGGGCAGGGACGGUGCUGGGCAUUGUGUUAGCGUGGGUGAUAGCAGCUGGUGGCAGAACGUGACAACGUGCCUCUCGAGAGGUCCGACGUCUCCGCCCUCGCGGAGCAUUGCGCUGCCGUGCGCGGGUCUCGAACCUGCAACUCAGUGAGUGACGCCGUGCCCGGGCCUCGAACCCGUGACCCCUCGGCAACCCACCGCGCCCAGCGCCCCCCACCCCAUCAGGCCCCCUGUUAGUUG